GGCGGAGUGGCCGAGUGGUUAAGGCGACGAACUAGAAAUUCGUUUGGGUUCGCCCGCGCAGGUUCGAGUCCUGUCGACGACG
RNAcentral lists this transfer RNA (82 nucleotides) under Metarhizium album ARSEF 1941. It matches the Rfam family "tRNA". Rfam says of the family: Transfer RNA (tRNA) molecules are approximately 80 nucleotides in length. Lineage: Eukaryota; Fungi; Ascomycota; Sordariomycetes; Hypocreales; Clavicipitaceae. The record is from Rfam by way of RNAcentral.